GCUGUCGUAGCUCAGUGGAUAGAGCCAUGGCGCGCAGGUUCGAAUCCUGCCGACAGCA
Molecule: transfer RNA, 58 nt
Filed under: Microbacterium sp. AG1240
Lineage: Bacteria; Bacillati; Actinomycetota; Actinomycetes; Micrococcales; Microbacteriaceae
Description: tRNA-Pro
Rfam family: tRNA
About the family: Transfer RNA (tRNA) molecules are approximately 80 nucleotides in length.
Source: RNAcentral